This is a long non-coding RNA of Brassica rapa (field mustard), 8597 nucleotides long. RefSeq lists it as uncharacterized. The record is from RefSeq and is a predicted model, not a curated record. Lineage: Eukaryota; Viridiplantae; Streptophyta; Magnoliopsida; Brassicales; Brassicaceae.
AAUGAAAAUUAACAAAUAAUUUAAAUAGUUAGAGUAAAUAUUUAAUAUAAUUAGACUAAAUAAACCAUAUUAUCUGAAAAAUUAGUUAUAAUUUUAAAAAUAAAUAUUACUUGUUAUUUUUCAGAAUAUGAUUUAAUUUUUUCUUGCUAAAAGAUUUAAGAUGAUUUUCUUUUGUUAAGUAAUCUAUGUUUUAGUUAUAUAUUAAGAAUUGAAUGUUGCUUUACAUAAUUUGAAACAAACAAAAACAAUAGAUUCUGUUACAAUUUGGGAAAGGAAAAAAAUCCACAUGGUAAACCUUCGAUUGCAACUUGAAAAAGAAAAACAAAAAAUUGUAACGCAGGUGUUAACAAUUAUUUUUUUCAAAUAUUAAAAAAAUUUUAAGAACAAAAAAAAUCCAUUUAAGAUAUUAUUUUUUCAUGUUUUCUCAAACUCCGACCAACAUAAAUAAAAAUUAAAUUUAACAAAUAAUUUUUAUGUAGUUAUCAAGUUCAAUUUUAUGAAAAUCUACAAUAAUAUACAUCACACGACAAUCAACAUCCCACGCGUAGCGCAUACUUACCCUAAUAUAUAAAAUAAAAUUGAUUUAAAGGUUCUAAGAAUAUCUACAUGGACAAAAAAGAAAAAGAAAAUAGCACAUCAUUUAUACUAAAUAAUAACAUGUCAAUUAUACUAAUAAAUAAUAAAAUUCACCAAUAAAAUUGUCUAAUUGAUAUCUUUGUUGUUUUCUUAAAUGUUACCUUUUAUUAAAAACUGUAAUUUUCAAAAUCAAAUAAAAAAAUAUAAAUCAUUUUUUUAAAAAAAAAACUAACGAAAAGAAAAAAAUCAUAAAACGCUAAAACUAUAUAUGCAAAAUAAUAAAAAUAACUUAAAAGAGCAUUUUCAAAACAUUUCCUUAAGCAUGUCAAAAUAUUCAAAAUAGUAUUUAUCAAAAUCUUUUUUUUUUUAUCAUUCGUUAGCAGUUUUAACUGUAAAGUUAUAAACAAUCCAUUUUUUUGAACAAAAAACAAUCCAUUUUAAUCAUGAAACAUCAAAAAAAAAACUUUAAUAUGUAAAAACAUAACAAAAAUUUAAACAAUGUGUAUGAUGUCUGAAUUUUUAAGAAGUUCAAAAUUUAUUUACACGCUGAUAUAUUUAAAGUUAUGGUAAUACUUUAGUUAUUGUGCCCAUUUUUCCUAGAUUUAAUAGCUAACAUAAAAUUUGUUUCUCUCUUAUGUUUAUACUAAUAACAUAUCAUUUAUACUAAUAAAUAAUAAAAAUCACCAAUACUUAAAAAGUUAAGAAGUUGUUAAAUUAAAUAAUUUUUUUAAUUGUUCCCAGUCAUAGCAAAUUUGAAAUUAUUAAAAUUAGUGGUUUUUAAAAAUGAGAUUAUAUAAAUUUAACUAUAUUUAAAAAUUAGUGCUUCAAAGAGGUCGAUGGCUUUUUGAGUACGGUGUGGCAUGAGGUCGGGAUUUUAUGGUUUUUCUUUUCCAGUCGCUUAGUUUUAUUGAAAUUCAGAGAUGUGUACCCAUAGUUACAAAUUGUAAGAACAUAACCUUUAUUCAUCUUUAUUUAUUCAGUCACUGUUACAAAUUUGACUUAGACAUGAUGAAACUCACAAAUUGUAGAAUUUUAGGCGAGUCAUCGCACUUUUUCAUAUCUACAUGUGUUUUAACAUAACCCAAAGGUUUUAUAUUUUCUUUUCUGGUCCCUUGUUUUAUGUGAACUCAUAGAUGUGUACCCAUAGUUACAAAACUUAAAAACAUAACCUUUCUUCUUUUAUGUAUAUAAUAAUCACAUGAUUAGUGAACAACUGAACAUGAUAACGCUAGAAUCUUAUGCGAGUGAUUACACUCUUAUAAAUCUACAUAUGUUUUACAUACAUUCAUAAACACUGGUGAAGAAUAAGAAAAAUAAUAUUUAGUUAGAGAAUAUUGAUGCUCGUGUGUUAUUAGAGAACUAAUGAUGUUUUAUGUAUUUUGUGCAAUAAAAUCUAAUAUAGUUAGAUUUAUAGAAUGCCACUGCGCCCCUUAAUUAAAUCUUCUUUUGUUCGCAAGUCUCUCUUUUAAAUUAUUAUCAUCACUAUUGCAACACUUGUAACAACUACUGUAGCUAUUUCUAAUUAUAAAAUGUGAAAGUUAAAAUGGAAUUGCUUGUAUACUAUAUAAUACUUGUAAUCUUGAAGUAUAUAAUCAGAUUCACAGGUAUAUAUGGAGACUGGUCUCAUUCAAAGAGUAUAUCUUACGAAUGAAAACUCGGUUCUUGUUUUUCUUGUAUGUAUUGCAGAUAUUUAGCAAACUCAACACAAAUAGAUUCACAGUUUUACAUAUUUAUAUGUAUCUAUACUAUAAUAAAAGGGUUAUAUAAUCAACAGGGAGAGUGUCCACGUAGGACAUUAAAAUCAUCCAAUCAAGAAAUCUCUUUUUGACACGUCAUCAAGCCAGCUCAGUUGCUUUGGUUCUUCUUCACGCCUUUCGCGAUCCGAGAGGAUUCAUUCGACGUUUUCCUUUUUCAUUUUUCCAGAACCCGUUUUGCUAGAUCAAAUCCUAAAACCCUUUGCUUUUCCUCUCUUAAUCCACGUUAUCCAGUGAUCCUAAAAGAAGUGUUAUUUUAUCUCGAAGGAUUCCGAUGGGAUCUAAACGCAGCGAUGGAGGCUUGCCGCAGAAAACCUUGCCGUCGCCGGCUAAACCUCCGUCUGAGAAUCAGAGAACCGCGGCGGAGGAACAAAGGAGAAACGAGAAGAUCGUGAGAUUCACAGAACUGAGCCGUGGUAUCUGCACAGGUUCUAAGGGAAUGAAGGAUCGGCCGAUACGAUGCAUGACGUCUUCAGGAACGUCAGAAGGAAGAGGAGAUCAGAAGAAAUCUGGUUCUCUGGUUCUCAGACGGAGGUUGUGAUGAAUCACUUGGAGCUCUUGGUGGCGUUUGGUUCACUGAAGGAUUUUCUUUUUGAUGGUUGUGAACAGGUCAGAUAUGGAAGAGAAGAAGCUUGCAGACGAUAGAGUCAGCGAUGAGCAAGUAAAGAGAAUUGAAUUGAUGGUUUCUGAUGUUGAUGCGAGGGAUACCAAAGAUGAGGUCUUUGAGGAAGCUAUCGACAGUUUGAAGCCUGAAUCUUUCCAAGCCGAUGAUGGGUUACACGAGGAUUGCCUUCAGAGGAGAGGAAGUGAAAGUGCCAGAGGUUAAUGGAGAGAGCCAUGGUGAGGCAAACCUGCAACAUAUAACUACGGGAGAGGCUGUACCAGGUUUUGUGACUUCCCAAGUGAAUGGUGAUGAAGGGGAAGCAGGUGCAGGGAAUGUCAGCGAGACAGCUACACUUUCUUUUUCUGAAAAUGGAAUCUUCUCCCAUGAGAAGAAAGCUGUUCUCCUCUCUUUCGGGUAAGCUUUUAUGGUUUCAUUUUCAAUUAAUUCUUCUUCUAUGUAUAUCUUUGAAAAUAGACGAGUACUCUAUAGUUUGUGGUGAUAAUCCUGAGCUAUUGUUUUUUUUACUCUAUUUUAUUGUUAGGGUUGUUGGAAUUUUUAUCAAAACUUAAGUCUUUUUGUUUGAUUGGUGCAAUGAUUGGUGAUUUCGUUUUGGUUAUGCUUCUGAGCAGGUCGGAGAAGGAAGAGAAGAAGCUUGGAGACGAUAGAAUCAUCCAUGACCAAGUAGAGAACAAUAUAUUACUGGUUUCUGAUGUUGAUGCGAGGGAUGCCUAUGAUGAGGUCUUUGUGGAAGCUAUUACUGGUUAGUUUUGAUAAAAUUUGUAAUUGCAGUUAUAUAUAUUGGACUACUUUGUUCAUGAAGAAUACAUGACCUCUACGUAAGUUUAUGGUGUCUUGAUCAAACAUAUUUCUCUUACCAAAUUAUGGCUAUUUCCAUUAAUUCACUUGGUUUAAUGUUUCUGAAGUCUGUUUGUCGAUUUUGAUUUCACUAUUUCCAGGUGGGACAUAACCGCAAAGAGAUUGGGUUUCAUGCUGGUGUUUGGAGAUCUCCUGUGCAUUCCUUUCACAUUUAGCAUUCAGGCAUGGAACUAACACAAUUAGGACAUACUUAAAUUCAUCUUAUAGUUAGUAUCUGCUUAGCAUGUUACAGUUUAUCCCGGAAACAAUAUCAUUCUUGAAUGCUUGAUCACUCUGUGACUGGAUUGCCUUCUCUCUGGUUCAGGGCUGGCCUUUUGCACAACAAAGUAGAACUAACAGUUCCUGCAAUUGUAGCCAACUGCUUUGUGUUCUUGAUAGGGUAAGUUCUGAGUCAUUGUUUGUUUAUUUUACGUUCUUAGGAACUGAACUUAGAAAGAAACCCACAAGCUGUUCUUUUUGGCAAGUACAUGGUUUUUAGAGGGGCUUACAAACAAAAACAUAUAUUUAAGAAAAACCCUAAAACACAUAUAAGGAUUGCUUUGAGAAUGAGUCUGGGGCACAAAGAAAUGGUGAGACUGUUGCCGAAUACAACACUGUUAAAUAUGCUUCAGGUGAUAGCAUUCAAGUAGCUUCGGGUGAGAAAUCCUUGAAUGAUAGUAUUGAAGUAGCUUGCGCUGGGACCUCAUCUCCAUUGGAGGUGGAAUAAGCUGUAAGGAUGUCACAGAGAUUGGUAAUCCCCAUCUCCUUUACAGAGUUUGGUAGCAACAAGUUAUAAAUUGCACGAGCAAAUGGUAACUCUUUUGAAUCCGUUAAGACAGAGGAAGCCGAUUUCCUAUGUAAAGCUCUGGUCGUUGGGGUACUCCAACAAAAUGGUUGGUCACACCGGAUGCAGCAUGAAGUUAGACAAAUCUGGCACUUCCCUUCGCUGCAACAGAUGUGUUUCUACGAACAUUACCGGGGUUAUCAGGUUCCGUGUUGAGCUAGCAGAUGAUGAUGGCAACGAUUGUGCCACGUUUUGUGGUCUUCGAUAGGGAUAUGAGUAAGCACACCGAGCAAGAAGCAGACACUCUGGCUCUCGACGAGGUACAUUUUUGCUACUGUGCUACAUUUUUCCUAUGUUAACAGUGGUCACGAUCACUCUGAAUGGCUCUAAAACAUUAAAUCUACUACAUAUAAGUGGGGGUGAAGGGCAAGAGCUACCAAGAUGCCUUGAAGAGCUAGCUGGGAAGGACUAUGUUUUUCAAAUUCAUGUGACUCCGUACAGUUUCACCCCUAACCACCGUACCUUCACCAUCUCUGCAAUCAGUGAUGCUAGCUCCUUUUGCAUUCACGCUCACGCAGAGGUGCGUUACACACGAGUUUUCAAAAAAAAAUUCUUCUUAUAGAUUUUAAAAAACACAUGUACAACUGUGUCACAGAGUUGCACCAGCAACCCAACUGCAGUAGUUGACGGGGAAGAUGGACAACUAACAGCAUCUGCCAGCAACACGGUUGAAGGGGUGAAGAUAGAAAUGGGCGUUGAUUGCAGAGAAAGAAAACAGCCGCAAAAUACCCCCGUGAAUGAUAGUUUUAAGUUGAUCAUACUGUCAACCCAUUUACCUUUCAUGUCUUUUAAAAUUUCUGCAUUCCUAUGUUUUCCCCAUUUUGAACUUUUGUUGUCUCUUGCAUCUUCAGCAAACUACCUCCCACACGGAGGAUAGAGACUUUGAUUUUAUAUAAAAAAGGCUGUGUUGACGGGUUUCUGCAUAUUGAAAAUCUUCUUACCUUAAUGCAUUAGUCCAUCUUUUUUGUAGGCGGUAAAAUGAACCGAACGAAGCUACAAAGUACUUAGAUAGGCAUAUUCUACAACUAAACAAAUUUAAGUGUAUCACCAUCGUCUACUAGAAUUUUCAUAGUUUAAAUUUUUCAGUCUCACGCCAUUCAAAUCAUGCGGGAGCCUACAAUAAAAUGUCAGUUAUAACAACCUACUUCCACUCUUUUUAAAGAAAUGUUAGGAUUUGGUAAACAAAACAAAAAAAAAAACAGACAAAAAAAACUAUUGCUCUCGAAGAUAUUACUUCCGUUUGAAUAUAAAAAAUUAAAACUAGCGAAAGUCUAAUUCAUAGUUUAUUACAAUUUCAGAUUAAUUAAUGUAGGCAUCUUUAUAAGAUCAUUAUUUGGAAACACAUUCAUGCAUAUUUAAAAAAAAAACUCCACAACAAAACGUCCACAACAACAACAAAAACAACCUCCAAGAUCAUAACCCAACCUCAAACAUCAUACUACUUAUCAGCACAACUUAUGGGUUUGUACUUCAAAUAUAGCGAUAAAGCGACAAUACUUUUUGUAGUUUUGGUUAUAAUUUGACUUAACAUAUCCCGGAUCAUAAGAUGGUUCUGUUUGACAUAAAAAUAACAGAUUUAAACCAUGGGCUAUUUUAAACAGAAACCAUGUUAACUAAUUUCAUUUAUCCUAUUUCUGCUGAGAUUUCAUCAACGCCAUUUGACAAAUUUUCCACAGAUUUUUUUCUCGGUCACUUAGAAAAUAUUUUCAAUAUGUAUAUCAAACCAAGUUUGCCUAGCUGUGAACUUAGUUAGAUCAAUGAACUUAAUUUCUCAACUGAAAUAAACGAAGUAAGAAGUCCGUUAAUAUGUUGGUUUGUACUUCCUUUUGAGGACGGAAGACCUAACUCAAUAAUUCUAAAACCAUAACAAUGGUUAAAUAAUUUGUAAAUUUAUCAAUUAUUUAACAUAAAAAUAAUCGAAAUAAAAUAGAUUUCUGAACAUUACUAAAGUUUAAUAACUACCAGUCCAUUUUUCUGACCAUUCUAUUCAAAAUGUCUUAAAAUAUACACAACAAAUUGUGAGUUUUAAUCAUUUUGUAAUUUCCAAAUAAAUUUAAAUUUUUCUAUUAUUUUGUAAUUUAUAAUUGAUUCUAAUGUAUAUUUACAAAUACAAAUGUUAAGUUAUAAAUUCAAGUUAUAAAUUUUAAAACUAUAGAAGACAAACCCGGGCGUAGCCCGGGACAGUCCCUAAUAUUGAGAAAGAAAAGUGACAAUAUUUCAAGAAGCACCUAUAAUGUUUUUGAACCAUUUAAAGCUUUUUCUAAUGGAUCCCUGCAUCUUCUGUUUAACUGAGUAAAACCUUAUAGGCAGCUACUCUUCUCUUCCUACGGGAUUCCGGAUCGCUGAAACUCCAGCUCCUUCACGCCAUACCAUCCCCGUUCAAACGCUUUUGCUUUUCUUUAUUUUCAUGAUCUGGUAAUCGUUUGUCUGAUCAGCGGCUGAAUCGUUGAUGUAACCUUUCACCGCAGCUUCGUCUCGGUUUCCAUACUCGGCUACGGCAGCCUUUGCAGCUGUUGGCUCCAUUUCUUUCUUGGAGAGAUAUGACAGACUCAAAAGCACCCACUAAGGCCUUAACUUUGCUCUUGAAAGUCUCCACAAGCUUAUUAGCUGUUUCAAAAGAUACAAUGGAAAAAUCAAAAUCACAGGCUCUAACAAUCCAUAAAUGAUUUGUGAAUAUAAGAUUAGAGUAUGGAUCAAGAAGCCAAGGUGAUUUGUGGGCUGGAAUCUCAAAAAAUCAUACCUGAAAGCACGUUGCUUAUGAGCUCGUAUUGCUUCUCUAGCUGUAACCGCAAAUCAUAAGUUGAGAAUAGGUCACAGUAGUCCGUGUAAGAAAUUAAAAUUUCAACAAAACGAAGAAAUAUUACCGUAGAAUUUGGCUAGGUUUGGCUUGCCUUAACUGUUCAUCAUCAUCCUAGCCUUUAUCAUCUUAAAUCUGUUCCCCUGAAACUUUUGAAACUCUCUAAGACUCAUAAGAUUUUUCUCUAUGAUGCAUCAAAGCUUCAGACGCUCUCCCUCCACUCGAUCGAAUCAAUGGUUCUGAUUCAUUUAUUUGCUCAUCUAUCGAAGCAUAGAAUCAGACCAAAAUCCGAAUCAGUAAACAUAUCAAACAUAACUGAGGAAAAAAAAACACAAAGAUACUAAAACAAAAAGGUACAAACCCAAUGAAAAGAAAAAAGAUCGAGCUCCCUGCAGAUGGAAUCAUCAAAAGAUUAAUAAGGAAUAUGAGAUUAAAUUAAACAGUAAAGAACCGAAUCUCAUUGUUUUUAAAAAGUUUGUACCUCCUGAUGCUUUUAAUCGUCCUGAAGCAUAAAGUUAGUCAUUGUCUCUUCACAGCAUCAGAGGAAGACUUUAUCAAAGGAUCUUUGUAUGCUUGAUAUGAAAGAUGAAUCGAAAGUGAUUGUGAAGAUCCAUCCCACCCGCAAUCUCUCCAAUAUAUAGAUCAAAGGAAGGAAACAGAGAGGUUUACAUUAUCAUUGGUUAAAUAAAAAUCAUAUUAAUGGAGAAUUAAGUAGAAUACGUUGAAUCUACGUUCGGGGAGGUUAAGAGUUGCAAAAAGAAAACUUUGGGUUUUCAGAGUUUUGCGGAACGGCGAGGGUGAAGAAGAAUCAAAGAACGAUAACCCAAAAACCUAAUGUGCCACGUGUCGCCGCGAGAGAGAGUGAGUUAUCUAGGUGGUGUCUGACGUGUCAUAAGGAGGAGAGAGCAAACCGUUCUUUAUAUAUAAAGAUUAUAUAUAUAUAUAACAAACAAAACAUGUAAGAGUAACCCAUUGUAACAAUGCAACAACCUCUUUUCUUACAUCCCACAAAUGACUAAUCAAUUUCUCUUUUUUUUUUGUUCUUCUAUGCAUAGCCACCAGCCAUACCGAUAUUUGAACCGGAGCGGUUAGCUUUGUGAGUAGGCGGAGAAGAGACAGAUUUGGUAAAGUGGAAGUAGUAGUAGACAUUAAGGAUCAUAGUUGCAA